Molecule: ribosomal RNA, 1283 nt
Filed under: Mortonagrion selenion
Lineage: Eukaryota; Metazoa; Arthropoda; Insecta; Odonata; Coenagrionidae
Description: 16S ribosomal RNA
Rfam family: Archaeal large subunit ribosomal RNA (bases 810-1177)
Source: RNAcentral
AUAAGAAAAAUCUUUUUGUUUAGUAUUUUUUAAAAAAAAACUUUUUUUUGUGAUAGUUUAUUAGUCUUGUGAAGGGCUGUUGAAAUAACAUUAAAUAUAUUUUUCUUUAAGUAUACUUUUUCUGUUUUACCUUUUGUAUCAGGGUUAAUCUAAAAAGUUAAAUUUAUUUUUUUUCUCGAUCCUUUAAGAGCUAAUAAAAUAAUUUGUUUGUUGUUUCAAAAACAUCAAUAAUAUUUAUUAGUGAAGAAAUUUCAUUCGUUUAAGGGGGUAUCUAGUUUUUUAAGAAUUAAAUUUAAUUUAAUCUUGAAAUUUACUUUUUUCUUUUUAAUAAAUUAUUUUUUAGGAUAAAAUUUAUAGGGGAUAAGCUCUAUAUUUUGUUAAAAGUUUCCUUUAUUUAAAAUUUAGUAGGAAUAUAAUCACCCAUCUUUUUAAUUUCGUUAUAGAUUGUUUUAGUUGCUUUUGAUUUUCUUUUCUUUUGCUUUUUAUUAAAAUUAUUUAUUUAACUUUAUUUUAAUUUGUAAUAGUGAUUGAAUUAGUAUAAUAUUUUGUUUAAUUUUUUUAAAAAAAAAAUUGAAAUAAGGAAUUCGGCAAAAACAAUUUUCGCCUGUUUAUCAAAAACAUGUCCUCUUGAUUUUUUUGGAGGUCUGACCUGCCCGGUGAUAUUUUAACGGCCGCGGUAAACUGACCGUGCAAAGGUAGCAUAAUCAUUAGUCUUUUAAUAGGAGGCUGGAAUGAAAGGUUUUACGAAAAAUUAGCUGUCUUAUUUUUACAUUAGAAUUUAACUUUUGAGUUAAAAGGCUCAAAUUUUGUUGGAGGAAGAGAAGACCCUAUAGAGCUUUACAUUCUUUCUUUUUAAUUUUUUUAGUUUUAUAAUUAAUAUUAAUUAGCUAGAUUGUUUUGUUGGGGUGACAAAAUAUAUAUAUAUAACUUUUGCUAUUUAUUUUACAUUAAUUUAUGAUUUUUGGAUCCAUUAUUAUUGAUCAAUAGAUUAAGUUACCUUAGGGAUAACAGCGUAAUCUUCUUUCAGAGUUCAAAUUUACAAGAAGGCUUGCGACCUCGAUGUUGGAUUAAGAUUAUAAUUAGGUGUAGUAGCUUAUUAUAUAGGUCUGUUCGACCUUUAAAUUCUUACAUGAUCUGAGUUCAGACCGGUUUAAGCCAGGUCGGUUUCUAUCCUCAAUUUUUCUUAGUUAUUAGUACGAAAGGACCAUAAUUAAAAAAUAUUUUUUUAUGUUUGAAUUUUAGUAACUAUUUUGGCAGAAAAGUGCUAUGGAUUUAGAAUUCAU